This 253-nucleotide ribosomal RNA is filed under the name uncultured bacterium. RNAcentral's name for it is "partial 16S ribosomal RNA". It matches the Rfam family "Bacterial small subunit ribosomal RNA", at positions 524 to 776 of the family's 1533-position model. The record is from RNAcentral.
UACAGAGGUCCCGAGCGUUGUUCGGAUUCAUUGGGCGUAAAGGGUGCGUAGGUGGCGCCGUAAGUGGGGUGUGAAAUCCCGGGGCUUAACCCCGGGACUGCAUUCCAUGCUGCGGUGCUUGAGGACUGGAGAGGAGACUGGAAUUUACGGUGUAGCAGUGAAAUGCGUAGAGAUCGUAAGGAAGACCAGUGGCGAAGGCGGGUCUCUGGACAGUUCCUGACACUGAGGCACGAAGGCCAGGGGAGCAAACGGG